Molecule: transfer-messenger RNA, 356 nt
Filed under: Synergistaceae bacterium
Lineage: Bacteria; Thermotogati; Synergistota; Synergistia; Synergistales; Synergistaceae
Rfam family: transfer-messenger RNA
About the family: Bacterial tmRNA, also known as 10Sa RNA or SsrA, is named for its dual tRNA and mRNA-like properties.
Source: RNAcentral
GGGGGCGACAGGUUUCGACGGCGUGCCGGAGGAUCCGGGGGAGCAGGCCGAGUUAUGUCCGUAAUUCUCGUUAAACAUUCGGGCAAGACGAUAAACGUCGAAGAUCAGUACGCACUGGCGGCUUAGGCCGGCCACGCUGACGGAUGGGUUCCUCCGCCGACCCGCCUGAGGCGUCAAAUUUGGUGGAUGCUCCGCUUGUGGUUUGGCUCCGCGCAAGUGGAAAAGACCAGGGGUCUUGGAACGCGGAAGGCUGUUUCCGGCCAACCCGCGGACGACAAUUGAACGGAGACUAAGCCUGUAGCGCCAACGCGAUUGGCCCACGACGGACGGGGGUUCGAUUCCCCCCGCCUCCACCA